GCCGAGGUGGCGAAAUUGGCAACCGCAUAACACUCAAAAUGUUACGGGCGCAAGCCCUUGAGGGUUCGAGUCCCUCCCUCGGCA
This 84-nucleotide transfer RNA is filed under the name bacterium. RNAcentral describes it as "tRNA-Leu". It matches the Rfam family "tRNA". Rfam says of the family: Transfer RNA (tRNA) molecules are approximately 80 nucleotides in length. The record is from RNAcentral.